RNAcentral lists this ribosomal RNA (884 nucleotides) under uncultured bacterium. RNAcentral's name for it is "bacterial SSU rRNA". It matches the Rfam family "Bacterial small subunit ribosomal RNA", at positions 21 to 884 of the family's 1533-position model. The record is from RNAcentral.
GGCUCAGAACGAACGCUGGCGGCGUGGAUAAGACAUGCAAGUCGAACGGGAUAUUAUUUGUAGCAAUACAAAUGAUGUCCAGUGGCGUAAGGGUGCGUAACACGUGGGGAAUCUGCCGAGAAGUGGGGGAUAGCUCGUCGAAAGGCGAAUUAAUACCGCAUGUGGUUAGGGAAGACAUCUUUCCGAUACCAAAGCCGGGGCAACCUGGCGCUUCUUGAUGACCCCGCGGCCUAUCAGCUAGUUGGUGAGGUAACGGCUCACCAAGGCUAUGACGGGUAGCUGGUCUGAGAGGACGACCAGCCACACUGGAACUGAGACACGGUCCAGACACCUACGGGUGGCAGCAGUCGAGAAUUUUUCUCAAUGGGGGAAACCCUGAAGGAGCGACGCCGCGUGGAGGAUGAAGGUCUUCGGAUUGUAAACUCCUGUCAUUUGGGAACAAUGUGCAGUCGUUAACUGCGAUUGCAUUGAUAGUACCAGAAGAGGAAGAGACGGCUAACUCUGUGCCAGCAGCCGCGGUAAUACAGAGGUCUCAAGCGUUGUUCGGAUUCAUUGGGCGUAAAGGGUGCGUAGGUGGCGCCAUAAGUCAGGUGUGAAAUCUCGGGGCUCAACCCCGAAACUGCACUUGAUACUGUGGUGCUCGAGUACUGGAGAGGAGAUUGGAAUUUACGGUGUAGCAGUGAAAUGCGUAGAUAUCGUAAGGAAGACCAGUGGCGAAGGCGAAUCUCUGGACAGUUACUGACACUGAGGCACGAAGGCCAGGGGAGCAAACGGGAUUAGAUACCCCGGUAGUCCUGGCAGUAAACGGUGCGCGUUUGGUGUGGGAGGAUUCGACCCCUUCUGUGCCGGAGCUAACGCGUUAAACGCGCCGCCUGGGGAGUACG